ACCACGUGUAAUCUAUUAAUUACUACUCUAAUGUUUCAAAGAUUAGAGCACUUGAUGCAAGCGGGAAUCCAAUAAAUAACUUGAAUGUAAAUAAAGGUAAUUAGAGAACUCAGGAGUUAUGAGUUGAAGAACCUGGAGAACGAUGAAGAACGAACCAGUUGCUGCAAAAGUACAAUGUUGAGGAAGAUCCGACAGAUCCGGCUCCUCCUCCGCUCUCCUCUUCUCUCUCCUUAUUUUCUAGAUUACAACUAGAACUAACUAGAACUAGAACUAGAGGAACUAGAACUAGAACUAGAUGAACUAGAACUAGAUCUAGAUGAACUAGAGGUAGAACUAGAAGAACUAGAGGGAUCCUCUCUACUUGGAUGAAGAAUUGAAACCCUAGCUUUGAUUCUGUAGAAGAGGUAUGAUCUCCAGGGGCCAGGGGGUCUGGUUUUAUAGUCCCUUCAAGUGAAUCUGGGCCAUCGGAUCAAACCGACAUUAAUCGCACGGUUUUCCUUGAUCCUUUAGGUCGGUGGAGCAUAAUCCGCGAAACGUGUCCUGAUUGGGCACUGUAGCUGGGCGGGCACCCAGGAGAGUUGGGCGGGCGCCCUACCUCCGAGCCCGAUUUCCUUCCCGUUCGUUCCCAUGGCUUCUGGAGUCUUCUAGAUGGUAGAAAAUUGCGCGGCACGUUAAUAUCUCUAUGUAAACCCGACGUUUGGGCCUUUCUUCCAUAUUUUCUGAUAACCCCCUGCAGAAAUAGACAAACACCAAAACUCGUGGAAUUCUGUCAGAUAAAACCCUAAGUCAAGGUGUUAGUUGCAUUUGGAUCCUUUUCCAUGAUUAGUUUAUGGUUAAAUGUGAGCAUUAAGGACCGUCAACAGUAAAAUGCUUGGACAAGCAACAUUAAUCCAAGAAAAUUUCUAUUGAAAAUCUUUGUAAAAAGGGUUGUCAUCAAUUACCAAACAGGGGGAGAUUGAAAGCCCUAGUUUGGUUUUGGAUAAUUGAUGAAACCCUAGUAAUAACCUCUAUGCUAAGUGUGUGCAGACAUAAUGAGGUUGGUACAUGCCAAGUGAUGAAGCAAGUGAUGAUCACGGUGAUGAUGGUGAUGACCACAAGGUGAUCAAGUGCUCAACUUGGAAAAGAAUAAAGAGAAAAACAAAACCAAACCCUUUGGAGAUCAAGGCAAAGGUAUUGCUUAGGGUUUUGGUUUUGGUGAUCAAGACACCAUAGAGGGUGUGAUCACAUUUAGGAAUAGAUAGCCGUACUAAUAAGAGGGGUAAUCUCGUUGUGAAAACGGUUGUCUAAGUGCCACUAGGUGAUUGGAUUCCGUGCAUAUGCAUUAGGACCUAGUGAACUAACUAAGUAACCCUUGAAAAAUGUUUUGAAAUAUGCUAACACACAUGCACAAGUGUGGAGACACUUUGGUGUUGGCACAUGGAAGCAAGGGAAGAAGUUGAGGAUCUUUUCGUGCAGCGCGUUCAGGCCGGACGCGUCCGGUAUGAGGUCAGACGCGUCCGAGUUGAGGCACCGGACUCAGGAACAGUAACCACCUAGAGUCUGGUGUGUUUUGUCUGGUGAGAUCGCUUCUCGGUGAAAACUCUCUGAGUUUGCAUCAGGUGCACACCGGACGCAUCCGGUGUGACACGGGAUGCGUCCGAGUUAGCAUCCGGUGCAAGUUCUUCGUGCGAAGCUCCCUGAGUUUGGGUCUUGUGCACAACGGACGCAUCCAGUGUGACACCGAACGCGUUCGGUUUUUCAAAAGUGAGUGUCCGGUGCCUUGUCAGUGUCAGAGGCAACGACUACUUUUCUAAUGGUCAAGAGCACCGGACGCUGGUCUGGAUCAUACCGGACGCGUCCGGUGUGAACUAGGACGCGUCCGGUGUGGACGCAGACUGUGGGGUAAACUACCAUCGGCUAGUUGAAGCUUGGGACUUCUAUUUAUAUGCCUUGGCUGGUUCUUGCUCACUCUCUUGACUCUCUAACUUGUUGAUACACCUUGUGAGCAUACUCCCACACUUCCCACUCACCUUGUUCAAGAUUUGUUCAUACAAAGUGAGAUUGGGAGAGAUCCUAGUUGCAUUUGCUUAGAGUUUGAGCAUCUAGUGGCACUAGUGAUCGUUGAGCAGUGGGUUUGCUUGUUACUCUUGGUGGUUGCCGCCACCUAGACGGCUUGGAGCUGCGGACGAGCUUUGGCACGAGUUGGUGAUUGUUCGUGGCCAUCUCUCGGUGAUUGUGAGAGGUUUGUGCCUACCUCGGCAGAGAGCCAAAGGCAACAUUAGUGGAUUGCUCGUGUCAUUGAGCUACCUCACUUGUGGGUAGGUUCUUGUGGUGUCCUAGUGAGGACGAGGUUCGUGCUACACCUCUUAGCCACCGAACCACCAAGUGUUGGUCGACACAUCGGGGACGUAGCGUGCCGGCAAGCAUGUGAACCUCGGGAGAAAAUUGUGUGUCUCCAUUGUAAUUGUUCAUUGGAUUUCUCCCAGUGAUUGGACUUCAUAUUAUUGAUUGGUUCAUCCCCUCUACGCGGUGGUAUAAAGAUCAAACCAUCUCUUUUUACAUUCCCGCAAACUAGAGUAGCUUACUUACUUGUAUAGAAACUUUAGGUAGCUCUCUAGUGUAAGUAGUGACACAGCUCUUGUGUGCCUAGAGAUUAUAUCAACUAGAAUUAUUGGAUAGGUGGCUUGCAAACACCCCUUUAGAGCUAGAGCAAAAAGCUUCGCUUUGUUAUUUACUAACCUCUUGCUCUAGUGAGUUUGUAGAAUUUUUAAAUAGGCUAUUCACCCCCCUCUAGCUAUAUUAGGACCUUUUAGGUGGUCAAUGUAGCACUUCACCAGGAGUAUUCCAGGUAUCGUAUUUUCCACGAGGAACGGGAAGUGGACUAACUAGACCAAUUGAGUCGUCGGAUGAUGAUCAAAGGGCUUAGGAUUGGGUGCAGAGGUAUUUGUGGUAUUUGGCUUCUAGCUAAGCUAUCCUAAGUAUACUGAGAGUUAACUCCCUUCCUACUGCAGCCGAUAGGUGAAAAGGGUGUGGUGAAACACUUCCCUGGGCAGCUAAUAUGCAGGCCAACUAUUAUUUGCAUCUUGCCUAACAACACACUGAAGAGAACUCCUAAUGUCCAGUAGAGGCCUGUCACGCUUCGCUGCUGGCGUUCUUCAAGUGUGACAAGAAGUCAACAAGGGCAGACUUAGUCUAGACACAACGUCUACACUAGUUCUACUACUCUAGACCCAGCUAAGGUUUCGAGCACUUCACACAAGGCAAAGCAAUGUACCAGUAGGCCGGUUGUAUACUUAAAAUAAACUAAGACAAAAAGUAAAUACUGGAAGUACUCAGAUGAAAGGCAACUAGAAGGAAGACUUACUUGAAGACAAGCAUCCACUGAGGCGCUUCUGGAAGAAGACUCCCAACAAGCUGGGACUCCUCCUCAGGGAACUCCUCACUCUCUUCCCUCUAUUCUCAUACUAGCUAAGAGUAGCUCUUCUUAAGAUACAUCAUUGUUAACUAGGUUCUCUAAGGGGGUAUUUAUAGGGGGGAGAUGGAGUAGGGGCUAUUCCAGUGCCACAUUAGCGAUCCGUGUGCUCCCUCUUCUCCACUGCUGGAUCAAACCGACUUUGGAACCACCAUAUGAUCAACGGUUGGGACUUCCAUCACAUGUUCAUCAUGGGGAAUGUCGAUGGGAGUGAACUGACUCAAGAUGGGGCCCACAUGUCGGUCGGUCGACCUACCUAAUGACAAGUGGGAUUAGUGUUGUCUUCUAGAAGGAGUCCCAUGUCGGUUGGUGCAAACUAGGUGGCUGGAUGGCCCCAUAGUGGUGUCAGUCGACCCCACUUUGGUAGAACCAAAGGUUCAUCUUCUGCAUGUGACUUCCUGUUGAAAUUCUGAGCACAGUGGUGGUGCUAGGCCCACAAAGGUGGGGUCGGCCGACCCCACUAAUGUGCCCAUCCUUUGCACAUUGUCUCCAUAAGCUCUGAGAUUGAUGAAUGUGAAGUUGGUUUUCUAAUUGGCCAUUCAGGGGUGGUAGUCCAACCUUCAUAUAGAGCUUCUUAACCCUAAAGAGUAGUCGAUGGCACACCUGCAUCCAAAUGAUGACAUAUACAUGUGGAACCAAGUUAUUUGUACCUAAGUCACUAUGUGUUUGGUGAUUUUUUCCAGAAAGAAUGUAUUGUUGAUGGUUUUGAUGGAGUAAAAAUAGGGCUUAUCUACCAUCAAUAGCCAUUCAGAUUAUGUAAUGCUAUAGCUUCUUUUCAACGGUGCAUGAUGUCUAUUUUCUCUAACAUGAUCGAGAAAAUCAUGGAGGUGUUCAUGGAUGACUUGACCUUCUAUGGCACAACCUUUGAUGACUGUUUGGAGAAUCUAGACAAAGUCUUACAAAGAUGCGAAGAAAAGUACUUAGCCCUGAACGGGGGAAAAUGCCAUUUCAUGGUACGGGAAGGAAUAGUGCUAGGACACAAGGUAUCCGAAUGUGGGAUAGAAGUGGAUAGAGCAAAAAUAGAAGUUAUUGAACAACUUCCACCUCCCACAAAUGUGAAAGGAAUCUGAAGCUUUCUAGGCCAUGCGGGGUUCUAUAGGCAUUUUAUCAAAAACUUCUCUCAAAUCACUAGACCCCUCACUAGACUAUUGGCUAAGGAUGGACCUUUCAUCUUUGACAAUGAGUGCUAUGAAUCUUUCCAAACACUCAAACAAGCACUCAUUUCAUCUCCAAUCAUCCAACCACCUGAUUGGAUGCUGCCUUUUGAAACCAUGUGUGAUGCUAGCGACUUUGCUAUUGGUGCCGUUCUUGGCCAAACAAAGGAUAAAAAGCACUAUGCUAUAUCCUAUGCUAGCAAAACCUUAACUGGACCAAAGCUCAAUUAUGCUACCACUAAAAAGAGCUAUUGGUAGUUGUCUUUGCAAUAGAUAAGUUUAGAUCUUACUUACUUGGAGCACAGGUAACCAUUUAUUUAGACCAUGCUGCUCUUAAAUACCUCCUCACUAAGAAAGAUGCUAAACCUCGGUUGAUCCACUACAUUCUUUUACUCCAAGAAUUUGAUAUUGAAAUAAAGAUAAGAAAAGAGUAGAGAAUUUAGUAGCCAAUCACUUGUCUAGGCUCCAGUACAAGGAAACACAUGAGUUACCCAUUAAUGACUAUCUAAGGGAUGACACACUCGUCGCGGUAACACUCUCCAACCCAUGGUACACGGAUAUUGAGAAUUACAUGGUUGCAGGAUAUGUUCCACCAUGAGGAGAUAAGAGGAAGCUCAAAUAGGAAGCUCAAUGCCACUUAUGGGAUGACCCAUAUCUCUAUCAGUUUUUUUCUGAUGGAUUAUUAUGGAGAUGUGUCCCAAUGGUUGAAGCAAUUAAAAUCAUAGAGAGGUGUCAUGCAUCGCCAUAUGGAGGAUAUUAUGGAGCACUCCGUACGCAUGCAAAGAUCUAGCAAAGUGGAUUCUUCUAGCCUACGAUGUGUCAAGAUACAAAGGAGUUUGUUAAAAGAUGUGCUAGAUGUCAAAAACAUGGAAACAUUAAUGCUCGGGAUGCAAUGUCACUUCAGAACAACCUCCAAGUAGAGUUGUUUGAUGUUUGGGGAAUCGACUACAUGGGACCAUUCCAAAGAUCUGGAGAUGCUGAAUUUAUCUUGGUGGCAGUAGACUACGUGUCCAAGUCGGUAGAAGCAUUACCAUGUCGAGCUGUCGACUCCAAGCAUGCUAAGAAGAUGUUCCAUGAAGUAAUAUUUCCAAGAUUCAACAUACCAAGAAUGGUCAUACGUGUUGGAGGAUCACACUUCAUUGAUAAGAGCUUCAAAUAAUUCCUGACAGAAUAUGGAGUCAAGCAUAAUGUUGCAACUCCAUACCAUCCUCAAACCAACGGUCAAGCAGAAACAUCAAAUAAGCAAAUCGAAAACAUUAUGCAGAAGACUAUGGAUGAGAUGGGAAAGAAAUGGAAGUACAAGCUCUAUGAUGCACUAUGGGCAUACCAGACUGCAUACAAAACACCCAUAGGCAUGUCACCUUAUUAGCUUGUAUAUGGAAAAACAUGCCACUUGCCUAUUGAAUUAGAAUUCAAAGCUCAUUGGGCAAUCAAGAACAUGGAUCUCCAUCUAGCCGGCAAGAAUCAGCAGAUGCAAAUAUCUGAGCUGGAAGAAUGGAGAGAAAAGUCUUAUCAUAGCUCCAAGAUAUACAAAGAAAGAACCAAAAGAUGGCAUGACAAGAGAAUAAAGCACAAGGAAUUCAUGCUUGGAGAUAAAGUUAUAUUAUUCAACUCAAGAGUAAAGCUCUUCGGUCAUGGAAAGCAUAGAAGUAAAUGGCAAGGACCAUUCAAAGUGAUUGAUGCUAUAUCUCAUGGUGCCAUCACGAUCCAAGAUGAUACAGGUAACACAUUCAAGGUAAAUGGUCAACGUUUGAAUGUUUUUCUUGACCCGAAAAUAUAGAAGAAAUAGAUGUGAUUGAGUUCUUGCAAUUUAAAGACCCAAUAUAAAUUUCAAAAGGGCUCUAGACAACUAAAACUUUUUGGACUAACGCUUAAUCAUUUCCACAAGCUUUGUUGUCUAUUUGAGUUUACAAGUUUUACAGGAACAAGAAGAGCUAACAGGCAGAAGGACAUCCUCUCCCUUGUCGAAUUGUUGUCCACAUAAGUCAAGUGUUGUUUCUAAUAGCAAGUACCCACUACAAUCUAGGAGGAUUAGUACGCCUUCACUGCCUGUUAGCAAAUUCAGACCAUGUCAACAUCCAGCUUGGAGGAGAGCAUCCCGUGUAUACCGAGAUAAGUAUUCCUCACUCAUCUAUUUAUUCUUAGCGCGUUAUGAUAAGAUAAAACUAAGAAGAUGAAUAACCUUAGAAAAUCAAUAAAUACUUCUUUAUUUAUCUUUCAUAAUUAAUUUUGCAAGCUAAGGAGAUCUCUUAGUGAAUCUGUUAUGAUGAAUAGUUGCUCUGCCGUAAUUCCUUGCAAGUACCUAGUUUUCAACCUUGUACUCUCAUGAGUUUUAGACACAACUGUUUAGACUUAAGAUUUUGCUCUGAGCCUAAAACUUUUGGGUAGCAGAUGCUUGAUCUAAAUCAAGGUAGUCGACAUAUAUGAUAUGGGAAGGUUUUUGAGUUGCUGUCAAUCUUGUUCCUAGAGAUACUAGAGUUCUGGAGAAUUUAAUUUGAAAAUUUUAAUUGCUACAUGAUGAGUUCCUUUAUGACGAGAGUUCAGUAUUCCUACCACAGCCAAAUACUCAUGUUUACUAGAUUAGGAAAGCCUCUCACUUAUAUUUCAUCCUAUAAGCAUUGAGGGUACUUAAGUUGUGUAGACCAUAAGGGACUAGUCAUGUAGUUAAAGUCAAAUAUUAUGUGCUCUCCAUCCAUUAAUCUUAGCUACUUAUGUCCUCAUAAGUAUGAAACCACUUACAUUCACUAUGUGCUACUUCUAUUCCUAGAAGUACCACCCACAUAUACGCACUACACUGUGUGUUGUUUCUAUCCUAGAGACACGCACUUAUGCUGCUCCUAUCCUGGGAGUAUGCAUUCCUUAAUUCACCCUACACAUUCCAUGUCCAUUAAUGUUCUACUCCUACACUAGGAGAAGACACCCAAAAAAUAUUCAUUAUUUCUUAUUCUACUUAUCCAAUAAAGCUUCAGUUACUCCUAUUGAUACUCCCUAUUUCUAUUAGUGCAUUAAAAGGGUUGGCUGAUCUAAAAAAAGAGAGAAAAUGAAAGAAAGAGGACAAAGGUCCCAAAAGAAAAGAAAGAGACAGCCAAGUCCUUAUUUUUAGAAUAGAGAGGUAUGUUAUUGCCAAGGAGCAAUUACAGAAUUAGAUGUUCACCAUCAGUCAUCACCCCUCAUAACCACUUUUGUUAUUAUCAUUCAUUGCACUCAGAUGCACACAUGACUUAAUUGUGUAAUUAGUUUCUAUGGAUCCAUGGUUUAACUAUGCAAUACAUGCAAGUAGCCUUGAAUUAUCUCUCCCACCUAUGAGCUCCACAUAAACCUAUUAGAAGUAGGGUGAGAGAGAGAGAAGGCAAUGCCUUAGUCAUAUAAAUACCACAUAUUCUGAGAGAAGAGAGAAGUCAUGCUUUACACUUGCCUUGAGAGGAUCCAAAAAUAGCACAUAUGAGAGACUAGAAAGGGUCAUACAAGGAAUCUCUGAGUUUAUUUGAAACCUUACAAAAACUACAGAAUAAUAGUUGAUCAAAGGGCGAGAAACAUAGCGCUCAACUUAACAGUUUUGUCUUUCAACUGCUCAAGACCUAAGUGACACCUAUAAGCCUAAUAGUGAAAGGUAAUAUGGGUAUGUUUUGAGUCAGAAUAGUUCACUCUAAUCUGGAGGAGAGUCCUUUUUUGAACGCAUGUGUAUUUGUGAGGCAUGCAAGCAUUAUAGCAACUAUAGAUCCAUCACUGAGUCUACCUUUCUUCAGGGACGAGUAAAAGGUAAGCUUGGGAGAGUUUGUUGAUAGUAGAUAAGUACUCUUUUUAACCAUCAACAUAGCAUGAGAAAGGACUUAAAUUAGAAUACUAUCUAGCUAUAGGGGUUAUCACUAACAUAAUUCCACAAGUUUAGGUGAUUACCUAUUUUUGCAGGGGAUUAUCAGAAUAGAAACAAAAGGAGGUCCACAUGUCAGAUUUACAUAGAGAGAAUACCACGAACUUCAACUCUAGAGUAAUCUAGAAGGUUCCAGGAGGCUCUAGACCAAACGGGAGCUCGAAUCGGCUCGAUGGCCGGGCGGGCGCCCCACCUGUCAGGGGCGGCGGCCUGGAGAUCUCCACCAAUCACAGCCAACCUCGCAGAUCCUGCCUCCACCGCCUUUGAGGAGUAAUCUUGAGCGCACGUUUAAGUUGGUUUGAUCCAAGGGUUGUGGUGCUUCCUAGGGAGCUAUAAAUACAACCUUGACCCCCUGGAGGCAUCUCCUUCAUUAGCUACAUCUACAACAGAAAUUAGGGUUUCAUCUAGUAGAGAAGUAGAGGUUCCUCUAAUUCAUCUAGUUCUAGUUCUAGUUCAUCUAGUUCUAGUUCUAGUUGUCUAGUUGUAUCUAGAAAAUAGGGAGAGAGGAGGAGAGAGCUAAGGAGGAGCAAAAUUUGUCGGAUCUUCCUCAACAUUGUCCUUUUGCAGCAUCUGGCUCAUCGCUCAGCAAUCUUUAGGUUCUUUAAUUAUUUCUAGGUUUAGUUCUUAUUUAAUUCUUACUUUAUUAUACUUACUAGAUAUCCGCUCGUAUUGAAUGCUCUAGUUAUCCUAGGUAAUUAGAGUAGUAAGCGCUAGUGUAGACAUGGUGUCUAGACUAGUGUUUACCUGAGUUUGCGCCCAAUCCCACGGUUAGUUGUAGUAGCCCCAUGGGUGACAACCCUGUCAAGUCUUUGUAUUCCACCACAUUCAGGUUGGUGUUUCAUAGAGCUUUUUGGCAGCCUUCUCCCGACUACUUUCUUCCUAGUCUUUUUUGAGAGUCAAAAAGGUACUACUGCUCCACGGUAAGUAUAGUAUAGUAAGCCUAAUCUUUAUCACCCAAUCAACUUAGAAAACUCUAGAAUGUUCCUCUCUACCCACCAAAAAUAUAUAUAUCUUUCUUAUCUUUAUCCUUAGACGACCUUGAUUCUCUAGUACACUUCACGUUCCUUGUGGAAAUCGACACUCUAGAAUACUCUCGGUUGAAAGCUACAUCGGUAUCCGUGUGCUUGGGGAUUUGUGUUUAAAAUACCCAACAGCAAGCCAUAUCCUUCUCCAGUUUAAAGACUGAUUGUUAAGGAAUCUUUUGUGUAUCUCAAUAUAUGGAGUAUAAAAUGGGAAAGGACAAUUGUAUAUUUCUAGUGUAGAAAUAGCAUGGGGCUAGAAAUGGGAUAUAUGGAUGCUUUUGCAAAUUUCCAUGUUACAGAAUAAGCAAUAAUUUUGGUGGUUGCAAACUUCCAGAAUGGAUGGUAGGCAAUAGUGAUAGGUGUAAGUGGGAUCUUGAUCAAAAAGGCAUGACAAGUUUCUCUACUUAGAUCAAUAAGGUCUAAUAAAACUCACACUAACAAGAGAUUUUUAUGGUGGCUUCCUAUCUAAUGGAUGUGUAUAUCUUGCUAAUGGUAGGAUAGGGAAAAACACCAUAAAGGAACUUUGGUAGGAUUUGUGAUUUUCUUUAAAAAAACUCUAGACCUUAUCUUAACUCUUCUUCAAAAAAGUCAUAAGAUUUACUCUAACUCUACUACACCUAAUCUUACUAAGCAUAACUAAGAUCAAGCAUAUGCAACCCACAAAACUUAGAUUUAUAGCGAACUUUAUUCACUACAAGACUAUAGUGGUAGGAAUUGCAUAGCAGACUUGUGCAUCGUUUUUUAGAGCAAUGAUUCAUUAUUUCCAACAUAUUAACAUGGGUUCAAUAGGAAUUGAAAUAGGAUUACUUUUCCGGUUAAGCAUAAUAAAUGGCUAUAUAAUCAAGCUAACCAUGUCCUUAGUAGGAUAGAACAAUGAAUGUAAUGGUAGAAAAGUAAAGGAGCAAUAAUAAGAACGUACCUUAGUGGGGAGAUGACAUCACCCAAGGUAGCUUGUUGCUGGGUGUAGAGCUUAUUCUCUUAGACUAAUAACCUUUUUUUAUUUAUCCAAAAAAAGAAAAACCUAACUACUACUUCAUGAUAUAGCUUAAGGCUAUUCAUAUUUUAUUUAAAGUGAAAAUAUAAAUGAGAUAACAUAAAGUCCUUUCAUGAUUGUUUCAAGGACCUUUUAUUAUUAUUGUUUUAUUUAUUUUGUUAUUAUUUAUUUUUAGUUCUUUAUUUCUCUAUUUUUCUUUUUUUAAAUUGCAUGCUUAAAUUUUUAUUUUGUUUUUAUAAUUUUUAUAUGCAGAUUUAAAAUGAUCCUAAUUCUAAAUGUAAUGAAAGGAUAGACCUAAUCUAAAUGCAAUGCAUGAUUUAAAAGAUAAACUUAGAUGCGAAUUGUAAAUGCAGAAUUAAAUGCAGAGAGAGUAAAACAUAGCUUAAAACCACUAGGGUUCUUCCUAAGCCGGAAGUUCGUCUUUUGGCGGCUUUUUCUUGAGGGGAUCUUCUUCUUCUUCCUCUUUCGACAUGGCCUCCCCCUUGUCAGGAGUCACACAAGAGGCAGUUGAUGAGGGUUCCUUCUUCUUAUGCCAUCCUCUUCUCCUUGAUAUUGGGUUCUUGAAUUUAGCCAUUUUCUUAUUGGUACAUGGUUUCCUCAAGUUUCUUGCUUCUUUUUCAUCGGGUUGCUUUGCCUGCAAGUUAGUGGCAUACUGAAAGCCCUAGUUUGGUUUUGGAUAAUUGAUGAAACCCUAGUACUAACCUCUAUGCUAAGUGUGUGUAGACUUAAUGAGGUUGGCACAUGCCAAGUGAUGGAGCAAGUGAUGAUCAUGGUGAUGAUGGUGAUGACCACAAGGUGAUCAAGUGCUCAACUUGGAAAAGAAGAAAGAGAAAAAGAAAACCCUAUGGAGAUCAAGGCGAAGGUAUUGCUUAGGGUUUUGGUUUUGGUGAUCAAGACACCAUAGAGGGUGUGAUCAUGUUUAGGAUAGAUAGUCGUACUAUAAAGAGGGGAAUUCUUUGGCUAAGCGGUUAUCAAGUGCCACUAGGUGUCAUUAUUCAUGUGCAUGCAUUUAGAACCUAGUGAGCUAACUUAACUCCUUCGAAGAAAAUGGUUGUGAAAAUGCUAACACACGUGCACAUGUUGGUUUACACUUUGUGGUGUUGGCACACUUUGAGAAGGAGGUGGAGUUUGAAGGGUAGAGACAAGUUCAGCGGGCGGCGCUUUUUGAGAAAAUGAAGUGCAUAUUUUCUAUUGCGAAGGUGGGAAAUUUGGAGAAGUCGUGGGUGUGUUUCUCGCUGAGAAACACUCACCGGACGCUUUCCACUAAGGCACCGGACGCUGCGUCUGAGCGUCCGGUGCAGACAGUGCCUGGCCUAGUUAGGGUAAGGCACCGGAUGAUAGGCAUCGGAUGCUGGCUUGAGCGUCCGGUGGUGCACGUCCGGUGUGCGGGCAUUUUGCGACCCUCUCUGCGCAUGGGUCCGGUGAACACCGGACGCUAAGGGUGCGUCCGGUGGCUUGCAUCCGGUGACCCUGCGAGUUUGCGGAGCUCUCUGCGAAAGAGUCCGGUGUGCACCGGACGCGUCCGGUGCCAACUUGCUCAGCGUCCGGUGCUCUGCAGGUUACCGUUAGACUCUGACACGCGGCUGACGUUGGAGCACCGGACGCUGGUGUUGAGCGUCCGAUGCCCCUUUAAGAGCGUCCGGUGACCCCGUGUUUUGCCCAGUGAAAGAGCCAACGGCUCUAUUUGUUUGAGGGGCUAUAAAUCUGUGUUUGGCCGGCUUGAGGCUAAUACUCUUGGCAUUCUAACAUACUUGACAUCUUUGUGAGCCUAAGCAAACACCUCCCACUCAUCUCCUUCAUAGUUUAAACAUCUUUGUGAGAUUGGGAGUGAUUCCAAGUGCAUUUGCUUGAGUGAUUGCAUCUAGUGGCACUUGGGGAUCGUUUUAGCUGCGGUUUUCUUGUUACUCUUGGUGGUUGCCGCCACCUAGACGGCUUGGAGCAGUGGAGGAGCAUUGGCACGAGUAGGUGAUUGUUCGUGGCCAUCUCCCGGUGAUUGUGAGGGGUCCUGUACCUUCCCCGGCGGAGAGCCAAAAGGUAACUCUAGUGGAUUGCUCGUGUCAUUGAGUUACCUCACUUGUGGGUAGGUUCUUGUGGCAUUCUAGUGAGGACGAGGUUCGUGCUACACCUCUUAGCCACCGAACCACCAAGUGUAGGUCGACACAACGGGGACGUAGCGUGCCGGCAAGCACGUGAACCUCGGGAGAAAAAACUUGUGUCCCAUUGUGUUUGUUGAUUGGAUUUCUCCCGGUGAUUGGACUUCAUAAUAUUGUGAUUGGUUCAUCCCCUCUACUCGGUGGUAUAAAGUUCAAACACUCUCUCUUACUUUCUUGCAAUCUAGAGUAGCUUACUUCUUGUAUAGAAACUUUAGGUAGCUCUCUAGUGUAAGUAGAGACUUAGCUCUUGUGUGCAUAGUGAUCAUAGCAACUAGAAUUGUUGGGUAGGUGGCUUGCAAACACCCCUUUAGAGCUAGAGCAAAAAGCUUCACUUUGUUAUUUACUAACCUCUUGCUCUAGUGUUUUUGUAGAAUUUUUAAAUAGGCUAUUUACCCCCCUCUAGCCAUAUUAGGACCUUUCAAGUGGUAUCGGAGCCGUGGUCACCGUUUGUGAAGGCUUAACAAACUCGGUGCUCAAAUUAUGGCUCAAAUAGUGUUCAACCAUGUUGGGGGCACACCACCAUUCUUUGAUGGCACAAGUUCCUUUGACUAUUGGAAGAGAAAAAUGAAGAUGUACCUUGGAUCAAUCAAUGAUAGAGUGUGGGAAGUCACGGAGAAUGACUUUGUGAUCCUUGACCCCGCCAACCCCACCGACAAUGAGAGAGCAAACAAGCAAUGCAAUACAAUGACUCUCAACACAAUCUAUAAUGGCAUUGACUCAAAGGUAUUUGAACAAGUCAAAGAUCUUGAGAGAGCAAGUGAAGUGUGGACAAGGCUAGAAGAAACAUAUGAGGGCACUACAACGGUAAAAAGUGCCAAAUUGUAUAUGCUCAAGGAUAAGCUAUCCAACUUCAAGAUGAAGGAUGAUGAGUCUAUACCGGAGAUGUUCUAUAGGCUCCAAGUCAUCAUCAAUGAUCUCAAGGGCCUUGGUGAGAAAGUGAAGGAUGAGGACUUCAUUCACAAGUUCUUGAUGUGCUUGCCCAAGAGGUUCAAGACAUUAAGAACAAUCAUCUUUAGAGGUGGAUUGACCGGUGUAUCUCCCAAUGAGGUACUUGGAGAUGUCAUGACCGAAGAUCAAUACAAUGACAAUGAUGAUGAUGAGGUCAUGAAGAAGGAUGAUGAUGACAAGGAGAAGAAGAGUGUAGCAUUCAAAGCUAGCUCUUCAUCCAAGAGCAAGAACAAGGGCAAGGCUAAGAAAGAAGAAUCAAGUGAUGAGGAGUGCUCCAAUGAUGACAGUGAUGACGAAGCACUAGCACUCUUUGUCCGCAAGUUUGGCAAGAUGAUGAAGAAGAAGGGUGGAUCCUAUGUUGUGACAUGGGAUAGUGAUGCCUCUUCGGCUGAUGAUUCAAGCGAUGAUGACAAGUCAUCUAAGAAGAAGGCACUUGCAAGCAUUGCUAUCAACAAUCCAUCACUCUUCAACACUCCUUCAUGCUUCAUGGCCAAGGGCCACAAGGUACAAUAUGAUGAGAGUGAAAGUGAAAGUGAAAAUGAACAUGAUAGUGAUAGUGAUGAUGAAAAUGAAUUCACUAAUGAGCAAUUCAUGGACAGGCUAGAACAAGCCGAUUCACUUAUUCAAUCUAAAAACAAGAAGUGCAAAGAAUUGGCCAAGAAGUUAAAAGCUCUUGAGCAAUCCUUUGAUGAGCUCAAUGCUAAUCAUGAGAGGCUAGUGGAAGCCCAUGAGAAGCUUGGCAAGGCUCACACCAAGCUUGAAAAAGCUCACUCCUUGUUAUUAGAAGAGAACUAGGAAAAGGUUGUUGUAUCAUGUGAUGUGGGCACAACAUGUGACUUAACUAAAGAAUCACCUAACGCACCUAUUGUUGUUGCCACUAACUCUUCAUGUAGGUCUUCAUCCACCACCACCAACUCUACCUCUACUUCUAGUGUUAGUGUCACUUGUGAUACCUCACUAAAGGUUGAGAAUGAGACUCUCAAGAGAGAGGUGGAUGAGCUCACUCACGCCUUAGGCAAGGCCUAUGGUGGUGAGGCCCGCUUGCUAAAGUGCUUGGGUAGCCAAAGGUUUUCUCUCAAUAAGGAGGGAUUAGGCUAUACCCCCAAGAAGGGCAAGAAAGCCUAUGCAACUCACAAGAUUAGCUUUGUGAAGAGCAAUGGUCGGUAUUGCAACAAAUGCAAGCAAGUUGGGCACCUAGAGCUUAAUUGCAACAAAAUGAACAAGAACAAGAAAAAUGCUAAUGCACCUUACAUUCCUUCUGAUUCUUGUUAUGUGCUUACCAAGGGUGAGAAGGGUGUGCAUGCUAAGUUUGUUGGUACACCAAUUGUGGGUCCAAAGAAGAAGGCUAUUUGGGUACCAAAAAGCUUAGUCUCUAACCUCCAAGGACCCAAACAAGUAUGGCUACCUAAGAAACAUUGAUUUGUUUUGUAGGUAAACUAUAAAGCCGGAGGAAGGCAUUGGGUGCUUGAUAGUGGGUGCACACAACACAUGACCGGUGAUUCAAGAAUGUUCAAUUCAAUCAAUCCAAAUGAUGACAAUGGUGUUGAUAGUAUCACAUUUGGUGACAAUGGCAAAGGCAAGGUCAAAGGGCUUGGUAAAAUUGCUAUAUCCAAUGAUUUGAGCAUUUCCAAUGUGCUACUAGUAGAGAGCUUGAACUUCAACUUACUAUCCGUGGCUCAACUUUGUGAUCUUGGUUUCAAAUGCAUAUUUGGAGUUGAUGAUGUAGAGAUCAUAAGUGUAGAUGGAUCAAACUUGAUAUUCAAAGGCUUUAGAUAUGAGAAUCUAUACUUGGUUGAUUUCAAUGCUAGUGAAGCUCAAUUGUCAACAUGCUUGCUCACUAAAUCUAGCAUGGGUUGGUUAUGGCAUAGAAGGCUUGGUCAUGUUGGAAUGAAACAAUUAAACAAGUUAGUCAAACAUGAUCUUGUUAGAGGCUUAAAAGAUGUCACGUUUGAGAAAGACAAGCUUUGUAGUGCAUGUCAAGCCGGAAAGCAAGUUGGGAACACUCAUCCAAAGAAGAGCAUCAUGAGUACAUGCAAGGCAUUUGAGUUGUUGCACAUGGAUCUAUUUGGACCAACCACAUACACAAGCAUUGGUGGAAACAAAUAUGGAUUUGUGAUAGUGGAUGAUUUCACAAGAUAUACAUGGGUAUUCUUUCUUAGUGACAAGAGUGAUGCUUUUGCAACCUUCAAAUCAUUUGUCAAGAGAGUACACAAUGAGUUUGAAACAACCAUCAAGAAAGUGAGAAGUGACAAUGGAAGUGAAUUCAAGAAUACAAGAGUUGAUGCUUUUGCAACCUUCAUCCAAGUAUUUGGUGACAAUCUAGAUUGAUGAGCUUUGUGAUGAUAAGCAUUUGGUGGAAACAAAUAUGGAAGUGAAUUCAACAAUACUAGAGUUGAUGAGCUUUGUGAUGAAUUUGGCAUUAGGCAUAAAUUCUCGGCCAAGUACACUCCACAAUCAAGUGGUCUUGUUGAGAGGAAGAAUAGAACAUUGAUUGACAUGGCAAGAUCAAUGUUGAGUGAAUACAAUGUGAGUCAUUCUUUUUGGGCCGAAGCAAUCAACACGGAUUGCUACUAUAGCAACCGACUCUAUUGUCACCCAAUGAUGGAGAAGACACCAUAUGAGCUCUUGAAUGGUAGAAAGCCCAAUAUUGCAUACUUUUGGGUUUUUGGUUACAAAUGCUACAUAUUGAAGAAAGGCACUAGAUUGAGUAAAUUUGAAAAGAAUUGUGAUGAAGGCUUCUUGCUUGGUUACUCCACUACUAGAAAAGCUUAUAGAGUUUGGAAUUUGGCUAGUGGUACUCUUGAAGAGGUGCAUGAUGUUGAGUUUGAUGAAACCAAUGGCUCUCAAGAGGAAGAUGAGAAUCAAGAUGAUGUGAGAGGCACUCCAUUGGCCGAUGCAAUGAAGAAUAUCGACAUUGGUGAUUUAAGGCCUAGAGAAGUGAUUGAUGUUGAAGAUGACAAAGAUCAAGUGCUUCCUACCUCUAAUGUGCAAGCUAGUGGUUCUCAUGAUCAAAAUCAAGCUAGUACAAGUGGUACACAAGUGCAAGAUCAACAAGCUAGUACAUCAUCUCAUGAUCAACCAAGUGCAAGCAAUCAAGUGCAAAUACUCCAACCAACAAAUAUUGCAAGAGAUCAUCCAUUGGAUCAUAUCAUAGGUGAUAUUCAAAGAGGAGUGCAAACUAGAUCAAGAUUAGCAUCAUUUUGUGAGCAUUUCUCCUUUGUGUCUCACAUUGAGCCAAAGAAGAUUGAUGAAGCAUUGAGAGAUGUUGAUUGGGUAAAUGCUAUGCAUGAAGAGCUUAACAACUUCAAAAGAAAUCAAGUAUGGGAAUUGGUUGAGAGGCCUAGUAAUCAUAAUGUCAUUGGUACUAGAUGGGUCUUUCGCAACAAGCAAGAUCAAGAUGGGAUAGUUGUAAGGAACAAAGCAAGAUUGGUAGCACAAGGCUAUACUCAAGAUGAAGGUCUUGACUUUGGUGAAACAUAUGCCCCGCUUGCAAGAUUGGAAGCAAUUAGGAUCUUGUUGGCCUAUGCUUGUGCACACAAUAUCAAGUUAUAUCAAAUGGAUGUGAAGAGUGCAUUUCUCAAUGGCUAUAUCAAUGAAGAAGUUUAUGUUGAGCAACCUCCCGGUUUCGAAGAUGACAAAAAAACCAAACUUGUUUGUGUUGCAAAUAUAUGUUGAUGAUAUCAUUUUUGGAUCAACCAACCAUGAAUUUUGUGAAGAGUUUGGCAACAUGAUGGCUAAUGAGUUUGAGAUGUCAAUGAUUGGAGAGCUUAGCUACUUCCUUGGUCUUCAAAUCAAGCAAUUGAAGAAUGGCACAUUUGUGAGUCAAGGCAAGUACAUAAAAGACAUGCUCAAGAAGUUUGGAAUGGAUGAUGCAAAGGCAAUUAGCACUCCAAUGGGAACAAAUGGAAGCCUAGAUAGUGAUACAAGUGGAAAUAUGGUGGAUCAAAAGUUGUAUCGGUCUAUGAUUGGAAGCCUAUUCUAAGUGACCGUAUCAAGACCGGAUGUCAUGUUUAGUGUAUGCAUGUGUGCAAGAUUCCAAGCCUCACCAAGAGAAAGUCAUUUGAAAGCAACAAAGAGUAUAUUGAGGUACUUGAAGCAUACACAAAAUGUUGGUUUGUGGUAUCCCAAAGGUGCAAAAUUUGAACUUGUUGGAUAUUUCGAUUCGGACUAUGCGGGAUGCGAAGUUGAAAGAAGAAGCACAUCGGGCACAUGUCAACUAUUGGGUAGAUCACUUGUCUCAUGGUCAUCCAAGAAGCAAAAUAGUGUUGCACUAUCAACCGCCGAAGCGGAGUACAUUGCGGCCGGUAGUUGUUGUGCACAAAUCCAAUGGAUGAAGGCAACUUUGAAGGACUUUGGAAUCAACUUCAAGCAAGUGCCAUUGCUAUAUGAUAAUGAAAGUGCCGUGAAGCUCACCAAUGUUGGGAAUUUUAAACGCAAACAAAAAAAUCCGCAAGCGCACGGAUACCGAUGUAGCUUUCACCCGGGAGUAUUCCAGAGUAUCGAUUUUCCACAAGGAACGUGAGUGUACUAAUUAAGAUCCAAGAUCGCCCAGGGAUAACUAUAUGAUUAUUUUUGGUGGGAAGAGAGAAAGUUUUCUGAGAGUUCUCUAGUUGAUCUAAGAAUCAAGAAUUACUUCAAGAUUAUCUAUUUCGGGACAUCAGAACACUAACCACAGAAAGAGAUGAGAAGGGGGCUACGAAGCUCCGACUACGGUCCUACAAACACCGAUCCGAACGAGGUGGAAUACGUCGACCGUUAGGGCUGUCACUACCCUAAGGCUACCACAACAAUCCACAGGAUUGGGUGCAAUUCCAGGUAACUGCAAGACUAAACACCACGUCUAUUCUAUUAAUUACUACUCUAAUGUUUCAAAGAUUGGAGCACUUCAUGCAAGCGGGAAUCCAAUAAAUAACUUGAAUGUAAAUAAAAGUAAUUAGAGAACUCAGGAGUUAUGAAUGGAAGAACCUGGAGAACGAUGAAGAACGAACCAGAUGCUGCAAAAGUACAAAUAUUGAGGAAGAUCCGAUAGAUCCGGCUCCUCCUCCGCUCUCCUCUUCUCUCUCCCUAUUUUCUAGAUUACAACUAGAACUAACUAGAACUAGAACUAGAGGAACUAGAACUAGAACUAGAUGAACUAGAACUAGAUCUAGAUGAACUAGAGGUAGAACUAGAAGAACUAGAGGGAUCCUCUCUACUUGGAUGAAGAAUUGAAACCCUAACUUUGAUUCUGUAGAAGAGGUAUGAUCUCCAGGGGCCAGGGGGUCUGGUUAUAUAGUCUUUUCAGAUGAAUCUGGGCCGUCGGAUCAAACCGACAUUGAUCGCACGGUUUUCCUUCAUCCUUUAGGUCGGUGGAGCAUAAUCCGCGAAACGUGUCGUGAUUGGGCACUGUAGCUGGGCGGGCACCUAGGAGAGUUGGGCGGGCGCCCUGCCUCCGAGCCCGAUUUCGUUCCCGUUCGUUCCGGAGUAUUCUAGAUGAUAGAAAAUUGCGCGACAUGUUAAUAUCUCUAUGUAAACCCAACGUGUGGGCCUUUCUUCCGUAUUUCCUGAUAACCCCCUGCAGAAAUAGACAAACACCAAAACUUGUGGAAUUCUGUCAGAUAAAACCCUAAGUCUAGGUGUUGGUUGCAUUUGGAUCCUUUUCUAUGAUUAGUUGAUGGUUAAUUGUGAGCAUUAAGGACCGUCAACAAGCUCCCCCAAGCUUAAUCCUUGCUUGUCCCUGAGCAAAGAUGGACUCAAGAGUUUCUGCAGUGGUUUCAUGCCUUAAAGAUACAAAUGCAUUCAAACAAGAUAUCAUCUCUGGGUUAGAGUAAACUGUUAAGACUUAAAACUUACUCAUAUUACCUUUCACCAUGGGGUUUGUAACCGUCACUUCUGUCUUGAGUAGUUAAAAGAUAGAACGGUCUAAUCAAACGCUAUGUCUCUUGUUCUUUGAUUAACUAUAGCUCUGGAGUUUUUGUAGAUUUUCAAAUAAAACUUAGAGAUUCCUUGUAUGACUCUCUCUAGUCUCUCUUUUGUAGUAUUUCUGGAUCCUUACCAAGGCAGUGAUGGUAUAUGCCUUCUCUCAAAGUAUGUGGUAUUUGCAGUAUGAAGUAUAGUGGCAUUGCCUUCUCUCUCACCCUACUCUAAUAAGGUUUUGAUAUCUGGAGCUCAUAGGUGGGAGAUAGCUAAUACAUACUUACAAGACAUUUAUUGCAUAGUCAAACCAUGGAUCCAGAAGAACAAGUCAAUAAGUCAAAUCAAGAUGUGCAUGUGUGGCGAAUGAAUGGUGUAUGGUGAUGAUGGUGACAACAAUGGUGAAAGUCUAAUUCUACUUGUGCUCUUUUGAGGGGAUACAUACCUUUCUUGCUCUUUUGGAACUUUUUGAGGAGAAUGAGAUGCUCUAUAUUUUCUUUUUCUUUUCUCUCAGGUGGGUAUUUUGUAUCCCUAAUUCUACUGUCGGACACUUGUCCAUUUUUACCUCUCGUCUCACUUUUUCUUUUCUUUUGAGGUUUCGGGCACUUGCCCCUUUUUAUUUCCUCGUAUCUCUUUUUUUCUUUCUUUUUUUAGAGCACUCAUCUCCUGAAAUAAUAUAGCAAGUGGUAGUAACCAAGAUAACUUGAGCAUUCAUUUCAAAGGGGAAAACAGAAAUAGGAGAAUGUUUUUAGCUAUUCUCUCCCGGAUUAGGAGUAGAAUAUUUUUGGAUGGUUUUGGAGAUGGAAAUGAGUGGAUGUGCAAGUGAAUCUUGAUUUAACCACAUGACAAGCUCCUAAGGGUCUACACAGCUUGACCACACUCAAUGCUCAUAAGCAGUAAAAAGUAAAUGUGUGGCUCAAAGUCUAGCAAGCAUGUAUAUAUGGCUGUGGUAGGAAUUUAAACUCUCAUCAUACAGGAACUCAUCAUGCAACAUUUUAAAGAUUUUUCAAAGAUAAAAUUCUCCAGAAUUCUAGCAUCUCUAGGAAUAGAUAAACAGCAGCUCAACCUUCCCAUCUCAUAUCCGUUAACGACUUAGACUUUAGAUCAAGUACUCUUCCCACAAGUUCAGGUUUAGAGCAAAUCUUAAUUAAUAACAGUCAUGCCUAAACUUGAGAGAGAUUUUAAUUUUGAGAACUAGUCAUGGCAGAGCAACUAUUCAUUAUUUCCAUGUGAGAGCUUAUCAUGAGGGUUCAUAGCAAACUUUAUUUAUUUAUUUAUUUAGCAAUCUAAGCAAAGAUAUAUAUAUAUAUAUAAGCACAAAAUCUUUAUUUGGGUUUUUAUGAUUAUGCAUCUUUUAUUAUUUGAGUAAAGUAUAAAGAUGAGUAGAACACUUAGCUGGAUAAAUGGGAGUGCUCUCCCCCAAGCUGGAUUUUGACGUAAUUCCUUGUGAUGUAGCUAGCAGGUAGCGGAGAUGUAUUUGAAUGUCGGCAGCACCCUGACAGCGAUUAGGAUGUCCUCUGUCUGCUAGUCUUCUUUGAUCCUUGAAUUCUGUGGAGCUCAAAUAGACAACAAAGCUUUGUGGAACUGGUUAAGUGUUAGCAUAAGUAUCUAGCCUUUAUCAUGUUGAGCCUCCUCAAUAAAUGUUACUCUCUUUAGUAGGAUCAUAAAUUUAUGUUUAUAAUUUUAUUUUUAUAGGAUAGGAAUAUAUUUAUUUUAUUUUUUUAUGCCACCACAGUGAAUGUACUUAUGGGUUUUAUGCCAUGAGCAUACUCACAUGGGGCUUACUAUUUUAAACAUUUUUAUUUUCUUUUCAAGAUGAUGUGAACCUGAUUAACUAAGCAAACUAUUUUAAAUAAUUGAAAGGAGAAAGAUAACUACCAAGUUUACCACUUGGCAAGGCGUUCGGUGUUUUUAAGUCCGGGACUCUCUGUUUUCUCAGUCGUCCUGGGCUUCGUUGGAUGGCGUAGUCGGUGGUUCCGGUGGCGCUUCUUCUUCAUGUAUAACUAUCUUCUCUUUCCACACCUGACUCGGUACUACGAUCUCCUCAGGACAGUUCUAUUCAAGCUAUAUGGCUUCAGACCUCACUACUUUUCCUUUGUAGUCUGCCCAUCCGUCCUUGAUGAUUUUACCUUCUCUGGUUGCGGUUGCGUCGUCUCCUUCUUGUCCUGACCUGCUUAGAGUCUUCAACUAUAUAGUUUGGGUCAGUACAAUAGCGGCGUACCUUCUCAGAGGGGAAGUGCAUGUGGACUUCUCCGGUUCCAAUGUAAAUGAUUGCUUUAACAGUGUUGAGGAACGGUCUUCCAAGGAUGAUGGGUGGAUUGUACUCAUCUUCAACCUUUCGGAAUGUCUAAUCUGCCAUCUAGAGCUGAAUGUAUGUCGGUUUUAGGGGCAUGGUUCCGAACCGGAGCUGAUAAGUGACUGCGGCCAUUAUGUUGACGUUAGAUCCGGUGUCGUAGAGUGUCUUCUAAAAAGAGUAUCCGGUGAUUGUGCACUCGAUGCUUGGAACACCAGAGUUGUCCUUCUUGAUCAAGAAAGGCGACUUGAGUUGACGAUCUUGACCUCCUUGAGCUGCAGUGACCAUCUUAGCUGACUCGGUCCACACUUGCUUGUUCCUGUUCCUACUGUUGGUCCUCUUCCUAGGUUCAUGUCUGGAUUGCUCUGAGAUUUGUGUAGUCUUAUUCUUGAAGGUAAACGUCUCCGUCCUUCCCAUGAUGUAGAAACUGAUCUUGGCAGCACUAGCGUAGAUGACAACUCCCGAGGUGUUCAGGAAUGGCCUUCCUAGUAUGAUGGGUGCCCUCUGAUCAGUAUCAGUCUCUAUCACCACGAAGUCUGCUGGAGCGUAUAAGGUACCAACUCGGACGUACAGGUUCUUCAAUAUUCCCUUUGGGAAACUUAGUGUCUGAUCUGCAAGCUACAAACACGUGGUUGUUUCUAGGAAAGGACGUGUAAAGAAUUUUUCGUAGAGUACCCUGAGCAUAAUGUUGACGCUGGAGCCAAAGUUGCAGAGUGCUUCUAGGAAGUCCACCAUGCCGAUGGAGAUCGGGAUGACGGGGUGUCCUGGAUCGCCUCUCUUGACCGGUAGAAGGUCAGUAAUUACUUCCACAACGGGGUUACUCCAGUAGUUACGUGCUCAAGCAUCUCAGGGCAGUGAUUGCCUGAGUGUCCAGUAUCUCCAGUGUGUUUGUGCUCGUAGAUCUUGGUUCUUCACUUGGUGGAGUCUGGGAGUUGUAACACUCCUUCAUAUUUUGCUCGAAGUGUACCUCCUCAUAAAGACAAGGCAGAGAUCGAGUGCAUGGGCCCUGUUGGUGGAAAACACCAACAGAACCAAAAGUGUAUUUGUUCUUCUCUAACCUCAAGCAUAGUGAGCAAGACAAAGUUGAUAGAUAAUAAGAUCAUGAGUGUAGCAUUUAAAACAUUUGUCAGAUCAGAUCACUCAACCUAAUGGAAAGAUAAUCUAUCUAUACUUAUGUUGUUUUUUUUAUAUAUAUCUUCCAAAGAUUGAGUGUGCAACAUUUUAGCUCAUAUGAUUAGGAGUGUGGGAUCACAAAGGUGGAAAGACUAAACAUAUUGAAUCGAUUGGGUUGGUUAAUCUAGAUUUGUAAAUCAUACAUGUUUGUCUCUUUUAUUCAUGUGAACGGAAGAACUAAGGAGAAGCUUAUAAAAGUGAUAGUCAAGUACCUUAAGAUGUUACCUUACUUGAAGAGUGAUGGUACAGUAUCACCUUGUGGAAGCUUUCCUUACUUAGCGGUUGUGCAUCGUGCUUGUGGCACCCUCCAUGGAUCAUCUCUUGUGAGCUAUGCCUUCCUUGUGUAAAUUGUUAAACUUCAUGUGCCUCUCUCUUCGUCUCCAACGUGAGUGUAUCUCAGGACUUCCCAGGUCGAUAUUGAAAGUUUUCCUGUAGGGGUUAGUCCAACAAAAUAUCCAAUAUCUACUAUAGCAUACUAUUGGCUCAAAAAUCAACCUAGACACCAUGUCUAAUUUGAUUUAGGAGGGUAUUUUAACCUAAGCAUCAUGCUUAAUUUAAACUCCCUUGGAAGUAAGAUCAUCAGCCCUAAACUAAGCACCAUGCUUAAUUAAGAGAUAAAUGAAACUACUCCAAACCUAGACGUAUACUAAAGCAAAUAAAGGUAGCAUGAGAGGAUUUAUAGAGAUCUACUCAAGUGGAGAUAAAGCAGUGUGAUUACUAUUUAACAAAUUGAGCAUGUCUCAAAGGUAGGGACAACCAACAUAGCAACAUGGCAAAUGAUGUUUUUAUAUAAAGUACUCCCCCAAGCUUGAAUUUUGCAAAAUUCAAGUUUGGAUGAAUUUAAUUCAAUGUUGUAUGAUGAUUGGUUGUACAUACCUUGUGCUUGUCAUUCAUCCGAUCUUCUUGCUCCAAUCCUAGAAAGGUUAGUGACAAGAAUACCCGAAGGAAUUUUUUUACAAUUAUCCUUACAUGCUCAAUACACAAGGUAAUGUUGUAAAUAAUUAAAAGCUUAUGUUACGAUCUGAUCAGUGCUUGUUUUAGGACACUAAUCUUGUCCUUGGGAAACCAUGAAUUUAUGUCGGCGAAGUGGUUUCCCCUCCAACGCUGACCUAUAUCAAGAUCAACUCAACGAGAUCUGCAAUAUUUAAUAUAGACAUAUGCAUCGACAACCGCCCUUUUAAAGUUUUUAUAAAUAGAAAGGAUGAGGGGGUUGGAGAUCUCGAAUGUGGUGAUGUUGGGGAGACCAAUGGAUUGUGAAGAUGUUGCAUAUGAGCAUGGAGUAAAUGAAGUGGCUAUAAAAUAAAUUCCAUGCUCAUUAAUGCUUAGAGUGAAAUCCAUGUGGUAUGGUGAAAGUAAUAAGGUGAGUGUGGUAAAAAAAAGGAAAAGAAAAAGGAUACACGGACGACUUCGUUCGAAACUAGCACAGCUACCGUUCCCCGGCAACGGCGCCAGAAAGCUUGUUGGGUAUUUUAAACGCAAACAGAAAAAUCCGCAAGCGCACAGAUACCGACGUAGCUUUCACCCGGGAGUAUUCCAGAGUAUCGAUUUUCCACAGGGAACGUGAGUGUACUAAUUAAGAUCCAAGAUCGCCCAGGGAUAACUAUAUGAUUAUUUUUGGUGGGAAGAGAGGAAGUUUCCUGAGAGUUCUCUAGUUGAUCUAAGAAUCAAGAAUUACUUCAAGAUUAUCUAUUUUGGGACAUCAGAACACUAACCACAGAAAGAGAUGAGAAGGGGGCUAGGAAGCUCCGACUACAGUCCUACAAACACCGAUCCGAACGAGGUGGAAUACGUCGACCGUUAGGGCUGUCACUACCCUAAGGCUACCACAACAAUCCGCAGGAUUGGGUGCAAUUUCAGGUAAUUGCAAGACUAAACACCACGUCUAAUCUAUUAAUUACUACUCUAAUGUUUCAAAGAUUAGAGCACUUGAUGCAAGCGGGAAUCCAAUAAAUAACUUGAAUGUAAAUAAAAGUAAUUAGAGAACUCAGGAGUUAUGAAUUGAAGAACCUGGAGAACGAUGAAGAACGAACUAGAAGCUGCAAAAGUACAAUGUUGAGGAAGAUCCGACAGAUCCGGCUCCUCCUCCGCUCUCCUCUUCCUUCUCCCUAUUUUCUAGAUUACAACUAGAACUAACUAGAACUCGAACUAGAGGAACUAGAACUAGAACUAGAACUAGAUGAACUAGAACUAGAUCUAGAUGAACUAGAGGUAGAACUAGAAGAACUAGAGGGAUCCUCUCUACUUGGAUGAAGAAUUGAAACCCUAACUUUGAUUCUGUAGAAGAGGUUUGAUCUCCAGGGGCCAGGGGGUCUGGUUAUAUAGUCUUUUCAGAUGAAUCUGGGCCGUCGGAUCAAACAGACAUUGAUCGCACGGUUUUCCUUGAUCCUUUAGGUCGGUGGAGCAUAAUCGGCGAAACGUGUCCUGAUUGGGCACUGUAGCUGGGCGGGCGCCCAGGAGAGUUGGGCGGGCGCCCUGCCUCCGAGCCCGAUUUCCUUCCCGUUCGUUCCCGUGGCUUCUAGAGUCUUCUAGAUGAUAGAAAAUUGCACGACACGUUAAUGUCUCUAUGUAAACCCGACGUGUGGGCCUUUCUUCCGUAUUUCCUGAUAACCCCCUACAGAAAUAGACAAACACCAAAACUUGUGGAAUUCUGUCAGAUAAAACCCUAAUUCUAGGUGUUGGUUGCAUUUGGAUCCUUUUCUAUGAUUAGUUGAUGGUUAAUUGUGAGCAUUAAGGACCGUCAACAACCAACAAUCCGGUUCAACACUCAAGAACAAAGCACAUAGAUGUCCGCCAUCACUUCAUAAGAGAUCACCAACAAAAAGGGGACAUUUGUAUUGAGAGUAUAGGCACCGAUGAUCAACUUGCCGAUAUAUUCACCAAGCCACUUGAUGAGAAGAGGUUUUGCAAGCUAAGGAAUGAAUUGAACAUACUUGACUUUUCAAAUAUGUGUUGAUGCACCCCCACUCAUAUGACAUGCCUCUCCUUCGAGCAAAGCAAGGUAACAUUGAUUGACAUGUCAUUCAUCCUAUGCUAAGGACUUGCUUAGUGCAUCUAGUCAUUCUUUAAAUAUCUUAGGCUCAUUCAUGAAAAUCAAAUGAAUUUGAUGCUUGUAUGGUACCACUAUUGCUUCUAUGCUUGACUUGAUCUAGUGGUAGCAUAUGACAUGUUUUUGGGCUUGCAAUCCUAGUGUUUGAUCUAGAAUAUGAGCUAUAAGUGUUUAACUCAACAUGGUACAAGAUAACCCUUAUUUGGAGGUGUGAAGAAGCUUGUCCUUGGAUCAAACCGAGUUAAAUAUCUUAGGCAAGUAAUCUAGAUUGGACCAAUUUGGUAAAAUGAUCUCACUUCACAUGGUUUCACACUAACCUAUAUAAAAUUUGAACUCACCUUUUGUGGUCUUUGAUGACAAAGGGGGAGAAAAUUUCCCAAAGAUUUAAGAUAGGUGAGUAACAUGAUAAAAGAAGGGGAUCAAUUAAAAUUUUGAAGCACACAAGUAGGGGGAGCAAGCUCAUUAACUUGUAUGUUGCAUUUGAAUGUGCAUCACAUAUGGUUGCUUGCAUUUGCAUUAGCUUUAGAAGCUUUCUCUCCGAUACCUUGCUUGUGUGAUGUAUGCUAGUUAUAGGUUUGAUUGAUGAAAUGAAGAACUAGCAUGCAUAGGUAGUGUAACUAGACUUUUAGUUAUUUCACAAGUGGUACAAGAGUUUAUAAUGUUGAUCUCACGGGGUGUUCUAGUUUUGUGAAUGUCUAGUCACUAAUGGUGCUAAGGAUGGUGUAUAUUGGCAACUCCGAUUGGUAUCACGCUUCAAAGGUCCAUUCUUUACACCUUAGCAUCAUUUGGUAUAAAUUGACUCCUAUAUUUCCUAUUCAAAGCAUAUGUGCAAGCUUUCAAAUCCAAACUCUUAGCACAUAUGUAGGGGGAGCAAUUGCUACCAAUUUGGGUUUAUAAAACUUGUCCAUAACCUUUGCACAUCGUAAAAUGCUUGGGCAAGCAACAUGAAUCCAAGAAAAUUUUAUUGAAAAUCUUUGUAAAAAGGGUUGUCAUCAAUUACCAAAAAGGGGGAGAUUGAAAGCCCUAGUUUGGUUUUGGAUAAUUGAUGAAACCCUAGUACUAACCUCUAUGCUAAGUGUGUGUAGACUUAAUGAGGUUGGCACAUGCCAAGUGAUGGAGCAAGUGAUGAUCAUGGUGAUGAUGGUGAUGACCACAAGGUGAUCAAGUGCUCAACUUGGAAAAGAAGAAAGAGAAAACCAAAAUCCUAUUGAGAUCAAGGUGAAGGUAUUGCUUAGGGUUUUGGUUUUGGUGAUCAAGACACCAUAGAGGGUGUGAUCACAUUUAGGAUAGAUAGUCGUACUAUAAAGAGGGGAAUUCUUUGGCUAAGCAGUUAUCAAGUGCCACUAGGUGUCAUUAUUCAUGUGCAUGCAUUUAGAACCUAGUGAGCUAACUUAACUCCUUCGAAGAAAAUGGUUGUGAAAAUGCUAACACACGUGCACAUGUUGGUUUACACUUUGUGGUGUUGGCACACUUUGAGAAGAAGGUGGAGUUUGAAGGGUAGAGAGAGGAUGGGUUUAUUCGGCGCUUUUUGAGAAAAUGAAGUGCAUAUUUUCUAUUGUGCCGGUGGGAAAUUUGGAGAAGUCGUGGGAGUGUUUCUCGCUGAGAAACACUCACCGGACGCUGGCCACUAAGGCACCGGACGCUGCGUCUGAGCGUCCGGUGCAGACAGUGCUGGCCUAGUUAGGGUAAGGCACCGGACGAUAGGCACCGGACGCUGGCUUGAGCGUCCGGUGGUGCGCGUCUGGUGUGCGGGCAUUUUGCGACCCUCUCUGCGCAUGGGUCCGGUGAGCACCGGACGCUAAGGGUGCGUCCGGUGGCAACUUGCUCAGCGUCCGGUGCUCUGCAGGUUACCAUUAGACUCUGACACGCGGCUGACGUUGGAGCACCGGACGCUGGUGUUGAGCGUGCGGUGCCCCUUUAAUAGCGUCCGGUGACCCCGUGUUUCGCCCAGUGAAAGAGCCAACGGCUCUAUUUGUUUGAGGGGCUAUAAAUAUGUGUUUGGCCGGCUUGAGGCUAAUACUCUUGGCAUUCUAACAUACUUGACAUCCUUGUGAGCCUAAGCAAACACCUCCCACUCAUCUCCUUCACAGAUUAAACAUCUUUGUGAGAUUGGGAGUGAUUCCAAGUGCAUUUGCUUGAGUGAUUGCAUCUAGUGGCACUUGGGGAUCGUUUUAGCUGCAGUUUUCUUGUUACUCUUGGUGGUUGCCGCCACCUAGACGGCUUGGAGCAGCGGAGGAGCAUUGGCACGAGUUGGUGAUUGUUCGUGGCCAUCUCCCGGUGAUUGUGAGGGGUCUUGUACCUUCCCCGGCGGAGAGCCGAAAGGUAACUCUAGUGGAUUGCUCGUGUCAUUGAGUUACCUCACUUGUGGGUAGGUUCUUGUGGUGUCCUAGUGAGGACAAGGUUCGUGCUACACCUCUUAGCCACCGAACCACCAAGUGUAGGUCGACACAACGGGGAUGUAGCGUGCCGGCAAGCACGUGAACCUCGGGAGAAAAAUCUUGUGUCCCAUUGUGUUUGUUGAUUGGAUUUCUCCCGGUGAUUUGACUUCAUAAUAUUGUGAUUGGUUCAUCCCCUCUACUCGGUGGUAUAAAGUUCAAACACUCUCUCUUACUUUCUUGCAAACUAGAGUAGCUUACUUCUUGUAUAGAAACUUUAGGUAGCUCUCUAGUGUAAGUAGAGACUUAGCUCUUGUGUGCAUAGUGAUCAUAGCAACUAGAAUUGUUGGGUAGGUGGCUUGCAAACACCCCUUUAGAGCUAGAGCAAAAAGCUUCGCUUUGUUAUUUACUAACCUCUUGCUCUAGUGUUUUUGUAGAAUUUUUAAAUAGGCUAUUCACCCCCCUCUAGCCAUAUUAGGACCUUUCAAGUGGUAUCGGAGCCGUGGUCACCCUUUGUGAAGGCUUAACAACCUCGGUGCUCAAAUUAUGGCUCAAAUAGUGUUCAACCAUGUUGGGGGCAAACCACCAUUCUUUGAUGGCACAAGUUCCUUUGACUAUUGGAAGAGAAAAAUGAAGAUGUACCUUGGAUCAAUCAAUGAUAGAGUGUGGGAAGUCACGGAGAAUGACUUUGUGAUCCUUGACCCCGCCAACCCCACCGACAAUGAGAGAGCAAACAAGCAAUGCAAUACAAUGGCUCUCAACACAAUCUAUAAUGGCAUUGAUUCAAAGGUAUUUGAACAAGUCAAAGAUCUUGAUAGAGCAAGUGAAGUACAUGACAGAGCAACUAUUUAUCAUAUCCAUAAAAACUUUAGGUAGCUCUCUAGGAACAGAUAAACAGCAGCUCAACCUUCCCAUAUCAUAUCCGUUAACGUCUUAGACUUUAGAUCAAGUACUCUUCCCACAAGUUCAGGUUUAGAGCACGUUUAAAUUAUAUUAGUCAUGCCUAAACUUGAGAGAGAGCUCAAACUUGAAAACUAGGUACAUGGCAGAGCAACUAUUUAUCAUAUCCAUGUAAGAGUUUAUCAUUUAAGUUUAGUUUGGCCUAGACACUUUAUUUAUUUAUUUAGCAAACUAAGCAAAGAUAUAUAUAUAUAAGCACAAAAUUUUUAUUUGAGUUUUCAUGAUUAUGCAUCUUUUUAUUAUUUGAGUAAAGUAUAAAUGUGAGUAGAAACACUUAGCUGGAUAAAUGGGGGUGCUCUCCCCUAAGCUGGAUUUUGAUGUAAUUUCUUCUGAUGUAUCUAGCAGGUGACAGAGGUGUAUCUGAAUGUCGGCAGCACCCUGACAACGAUUAGGAUGUCCUUCGUCUACUAGUCUUCUUUGAUCCAUGAAUUCUGUGGAGCUCAAAUAGACAACAAAGCUUUGUGGAACUAGUUAAGUGUUAGCAUAAUUAUCUAGCCUUUAUCAUGUUGAGCCUCCUCAAUAAAUGUUACUCUCUUUAGCAGGAUCAUAAAUUUAUUUUUAUAUUUUUUUUAUAGGACAGGAAUAUAUUUAUUUUAUUUUUAUGCCAAUACAGUGAAUGUACUUAUGGGUUUUAUGCCAUGAGCAUACUCACAUGGGGCUUACUAUUUUUAACAUUUUUAUUUUCUCUUCGAGAUGAUAUGAACCUGAUUAAAUAAGCAAACUAUUUUAAAUAAUUGAAGGGAAAAGGAUAACUACCAAGUUUACCUUUUGGCAAGGCGUUCGGUGUUUUUAAGUCCUCCGAACGGGACUCUCCGUUUUCUCAAUCGUCCUGGGAUUCGCUGGAUGUCGUAGUCGGUGGUUCCGGCGGCGCCUCCUCUUCGUGUAUAACUAUCUUCUCUCUCCAUACCAGACUCGGUGCUACGGUCUCCUAAGGACAGUUCUGUUCAAGCUGUAUGUCUUCAGACCAUACUACUUCUCCUUCGUAGUCUGCCCAUCCGUCCUUGAUGAUUUGCCUCCUCUGGUUAUUGUUGCGUCGUCUUCUUUUUGUCCUGACCUACUUAGAGUCUUCAACUAUAUAGUUAAUGAUAUGACCACACCACCAAGCAAGAUGUCACUAGCUCCAAGUCAAGCUACAUCCACUCAAGUUUCACCUACGCCGACACCAGCCCAUGUCGUCAAUGGACCGAUUACACGUAGUCGUGCAAAGAAGCUACAACAAGAGGUCCACACGCUACUUUAUGAGAUUUAUGUUAACAUUAAUGAGAAUUAUAUACUACAUAAGUGUUGUACCUUGAUUGUACUCAGGUAUAUAGAAGAAGAGAAUGAUGAAUCGGACCCUGAAGAACGGACCAGUGCAAGUUCCAGAAGAAGUCAAAAACGGACUAGUGAAAGUCAAAAAUGGACCAGGGCAAAGAAAUCUUCAUAACUUUUAACUCACAAAAGCUAUGAAGGUCCAUGAGCACUUGUUGGAAAACUUGACAAGUUUACUUUCCAAUGAAUCUAGUGGCGACCAAUUUGGAUACACCAAAUUGCCUGUAGACCAGAAUUAGCAUAGACUGCUUAGAAGGUCAAUAGUCUGUCGUGACAGAAUAUUGGUACAACUUGCCAAGUAAAACUGUACCAAUCUACAAUGUUUCGUAUUGGUUGGAAUACAUUGCUAGAAAGCCCUUUGAGUCUAGUUUCACACCCAAGAAACGGUUCAUCAUUUGGACUUUCCAAUAAAAAGUUAUGGUCAGUUUAUUGGAAACUGCUCUGGAGGCCAACAGUCACAUGAAGCCACUUCGGGAAUCCAUUUCGAGGGGACCUUUCACAUUGCCUUCCCUCAGAAACUCUAUUUCGUUUUCAUACCUAUCUAGCAGGGCUAUUGCUAGUAUAAAUACCCCCUAAGACUCAUUGUAAUCUUAGACUUUUGAGAAUUGAAAUACAGAACCCCUUUUGUUUAGCUGUGUGCUAGCAAAUAUUCAGAGAGUGAUCUCUACCCCUUUGCUCUUGUGAUUUCCUCGCGUGAUUACAUAGACGGUGGCUUCAUCUGCUCCCAAUUGGUGCUCCUACUUCCUUGAAGGUAUUCUUUGAUUGAUUGUAGGUUGUGUUGGUUGGUUCUUUGAGAGUGUGGUUGGGUGAAUCCUCGAUUCAGGUUGCCGGUUAAAGACGGUGGUUGGCUUCGAGUUUUAUUUGCCAGGUUGCACUAGUUAUCGCUGCUUGCAGCAAGUUAUCUGGCUAUUCUUCAGCUAGUUAUCGGUGUUCUUCCUUUGUCGUGAAGAUCGGGACAACGUGUCGCAUCAACUGGUAUCAAAGCUUUUGCUACCACGGUAGGAAUUCUAUCCCUAUCUACAUAUAUAUUUUUGCUUCGUCCUAUCCACCAAAAAGCCAGAAAAAUAGAUUGCUUAGACCUUUGUUUCAAUCUGUUAUUUUAGUGAGUUCGGUUAAGUCGCAGUCCAUUAGAGUCUUUGUUUUAGUUGCUGAUCAUUUAUCCUUCGCGUGUUCUUUGUGCCUCUUUUAUAUCUAAAAAUCCCCACAAAUAAAAUCUCUAUAGCAUAUAUCAUCCUUUGUGUUAACUUUGAUCCUAUCUAGCUACUGGUUGUUGUUUUAUUUAUAUUUAGUUGUGCAAGUAUCAUAAUCUGAUCCCUGUUUUUUAGUUCUAUAUAUAAAAAAAAGUGUGUCAAAAAAAAAAGAAAAGAAAGUGCAAAAAAAAGUGAUGUGAAAAAAAAAGUUGAGAAAGGUUUAGAGAGAAAGUCUGAAAGAUUAGUUGGUUUAUGUGGACAAGUGCUGAAAGUUUCAUAUCAAGUUCUGCAACCAGUUUGCUAUCUUUGUUUGGUGCAAAACUUUGGUUGGGUCUGAUUGCAACACUUGCAUCCCAAUCAUAAUCCUUGUUUGCAUCAAUUCUGAAAUUUCUUUGCGUGUGUGUGAUCUAUUUAUACACUUCGAAUCUUUUGAUCAGCACUAGGUAGAGAACUUCUAGUUUGGAUCGUUACUUAACUUUACAACAACUAGAAUUCAGAUUGCAUUCCUUGUGUAUUACUCCCCACCAAGCUCCACAUAAAAACCAUCGUAAUCGGUACUCUCUGUUCUUGUAUUCGCCUUGUCAUCACUUUCAGUUGCCACCACGCAUUUGUUUUCCUUGUAAUCUACAGCAGAGGAAUUCAUAAGAGCUUCGGUGGUUAGAGAGGUGAGUUGUGAGAGCCACCAAAUUUUCAUAUUCCACAAAUACAAAUUAUUUGUAUUCAGCUAACCUUACAGGAAGAUGGGUCGAGUGGACAUCAAAGAUCGUGUUACCAUAACACAAUUUAAUAAACUCCGACAAAGCAUGGAAGAAAAGCAAGAGAGGUUUACACAAGAUCUUCAAAAUCUUAUGACUGAAAUCAGAAGGCAUCGUCCACCUCAUGAUGGUGCAAGCAACCAUAGUGGAGAUAGAGAAGAUAGUGAUGGAGGAAGAGGAGGUCGGAGGAACCAAAGGGCUGCAAAUGGUAAAGGAAGAAGACAUAGUGGAAGAAAUGAUGAUGAAUCUGAAGAUGAGGCUGAUGACAACCGUUUCUAACUCAGUUUUGGUCGUCGAUGUCAUAGAAGAGGCAACCAUAAAGAAAGAUUUGGCAAACUGAAAUUUACCAUGCCAAAAUUUGCUACUGAACCAUCCACGAGGAAUUUCUCUGGAGGAAGCAAAUCACACACAAAAUUUGCUGCUGAACCGUCCAUGGUGAAAAGUUCAAGUGGAGGCUCACAAUCUAAUUUUCAGGAUACUUUUAGUGGAAGGAAUACUGCUGUCCCAAGUUCAAAACCUGCAGCAUCAACCACUACUUCAGAGGGUUCUACUUCCAGGAGUAGUGGAAUUCAGAGCUUCAAGUGCGGAGGCCUUGGGCAUAUAUGUAAGGAGUGCCCCAAUACUCAGGUGAUCAUUGUGAAUGAUGAUGGAGAAUUUGAAUCAGCUAGUGAAGAGGGAAUUGAGGAGGAAGCCCAUGGAGAUGAGGACCUUACUAGCUGCGAGUGUGAGCAAGGAGCUGCUCUUGAGGUGACUCAAAUCUUGAGUGUUCAGGCAAAUGAAGCUGAAAAUGAGCAGCGACACAAAUUAUUUCAAACUAGAGCAAAGGUGCAUGAUAAAGUGGUAAAGGUGAUUAUCGAUGGAGGGAGCUGCCAUAAUCUUGCUAGUUGUGAGAUGGGUGAUAAACUUGGCUUGAAGCUGCUACGACACCCUCAUCCAUAUCAUGUACAGUGGCUGAAUGAUUCGGGAGAUAUCAAGAUUGGAUAUAAAGUAAACUUUCCAUUCAAGAUUGGUGAAUAUGUUGACACGGUAGAGUGUGAUGGGGCACCUAUGUUGGUGUGUCACUUGCUGCUUGGAAGACCAUGGCAAUAUGAUCGAUAUAGCCAACAUUGUGGGAGAACAAAUCAGUUCAAUAUCAAUCUAAAGGGGAAGAAGUUUGUUCUAAAGCCUAUGACACCCCAACAAAUCAUGGCUGAACAUUUACAAAAGAAAUCUCAAAUUGUUCCAGUGAGUAGAGAGGAAGGAGAGCAAAAGAAAUUGAGUGCCAUCCACAAUUCGGUGAGUGAGUGCCACAAGCCAAAUUUGAGGGAGAAAAAGAAAGGAGAGGGAGAGAAUGUAGUCAUGCUAGCCACAAAAUCUGAAAUGAGAGAAGUGAGGAAUAACCCCGAACAAAUGCUCUUUGUACUUGUGUACAAAGACAUUGUAAUUUCAGCAAAUGACAUGGCCUCUCUUCCUAGUAUUGUGUCUCAUCUUUUGCAGGACUAUGGAGAUGUCUUUCUAGAAGAAACACCGGCAGGACUACCUCCAAUUCGUGGGAUUGAGCAUCAAAUUGAUCUCAUUCUAGGGGAUGCACUACCUAAUCGACCACCAUACCGAACCAAUCUAGAAGCAAAAGAGAUACAAAGGCAAGUGCAAGAACUUCUUGAUAAAGGUUUUGUUCGUGAAAGUUUAAGUCUUUGUGCUGUUCCUGUAAUUUUAGUGCCUAAGAAAGAUGGUUCUUGGAGGAUGUGUGUUGAUUGUAGAGCUAUAAAUAACAUCACUGUUCGCUAUCGCCACCCUAUCCCACGUUUAGAUGACAUGCUUGAUGAAUUAAGUGGUUCCACCAUAUUCACUAAAAUUUAUUUGAGAAGUGGAUACCAUCAGAUAAGAAUGAAAACAGGGGAUGAAUGGAAAAGUGCAUUUAAAACAAAAUUUGGGCUGUAUGAAUGGUUAGUUAUGCCUUUUGGUUUGACUAAUGCUCCUAGUACUUUCAUGAGAUUAAUGAACCAUGUCUUGAGAGCUUUCAUUGGAAAAUUUGUUGUUGUCUACUUCGAUGAUAUCUUAAUUUACAGUAAGUCUUUUGAGGAACAUGUGAAUCAUAUUCGGCAAGUCAUGGAAGAGCUUAGAAAUGAGAAAUUAUUUGCUAAUCUUGAGAAAUGCAGUUUUUGCACAGACCAUGUUGUGUUUCUUGGCUUUGUUGUUUUAGGAAAGGGCAUAGAUGUGGAUGAAAGCAAGGUGAAAGCCAUCAAGGGAUUGGCCAACUCCAAGAAAUGUAAGUCAAGUAAGAAGUUUUCAUGGCCUUGUAGGUUUUUAUAGGAGGUUUGUAAGAGAUUUCAGUACCAUCGCUGCUCCUUUGAAUGAAUUGACAAAGAAAGGUGUUGACUUUAAAUGGGAAAAAGCACAACAAAAUGCAUUUCAAGAAUUAAAGAAAUGUUUGACUGAAGCACCUAUACUUGUUCUUUCUAAUUUCACUAAAACUUUUGAAAUAGAAUGUGAUGCUAGUAGAAUUGGGAUAAGAGGAGUUUUAAAGCAACAAGGAAAACUUGUAGCAUAUUUUAGUGAAAAACUAGAAGGUGCUCAACUGAAUUAUUCUGUGUAUGAUAAAGAAUUAUAUGCUUUCGUGCGUGUGCUUGAAACAUGACAGCACUACUUAUGGCCAAAAGAAUUUGUUAUUCACUCUGAUCAUGAAGCUUUGAAAUACUUGAAAGGACAAGCAAAAUUGUUCCGUCAUCAUGCCAAAUGGGUUGAGUUCAUCGAAACAUUUUCAUACAUUGUGAAAUAUAAGAAAGUGAAUCGCACAUUGUCAAUGUUGUUGCGAACAAUGGUCAAAAGGAACCUGAAGGUUUGGGAGGAAUGUUUGCCAGAUGUGGAGUUUGCAUAUAACUGGGAAGUACACUCUACCACUAAUAUGUGUCCUUUUGAAAUUGUAUAUGGGUUCAAACCUAUUGCUCCAAUAGAUUUGUUGCCACUUCCAUUGCAGGAAAGAACCAAUAUGGAAGCCUCCAAGCGUGCUGCAUACAUCAAAAAGGUACACGAGAAGACCAAGGAAGCAAUUGAACUCAUGGUAGGACGCAUGGCUACAAGUAUGAAAAAACAUAGGAAGAAGGUGUUAUUUGAACCCGGGGACUUGGUGUGGAUACACUUGCGCAAGGAUCGCUUUCCUUAGCAACACAAAUCGAAAUUGCUGCCAUGAGGAGAUGGUCCAUUUCGUGUUCUUGAGAAGAUCAAUGACAAUGCAUACAAGAUUGAUCUUCUUGCAAGUUAUGGCGUGAGCAACUCCUUCAAUGUUGCUGAUCUCUCACCAUUCACAAGUGAAGACACUUUAGAGUCGAGGACGACUCCUUUUCAAGGGGGGGAGGAUGAUAUGACCACGUCACCAAGCAAGAUGUCACAAGCUCCAAGUCAAGCAACAUCCACUCAAGUUUCACCUACGCCGACACCAGCCCAUGUCGUCAAUUGACCGAUUACACGUAGUCGUGCAAAGAAGCUACAACAAGAGGUCCACGCGCUACUUUGUGAGAUUCAUUUUAACAUUAAUGAGAAUUAUACACUACCUAAGUGUUGUACCUUGAUUGUACUCAGGUAUAUACAAGAAGAGAAUGAUGAAUCGGACCCUGAAGAACGGACCAGUGCAAGUUCCAGAAGAAGUCAAAAACGGACUAGUGGAAGUCAAAAACAGACCAGUGCAAAGAAAUCUUCAUAAAUUUUAACUCACAAAAGCUAUGAAGGUCAAUGCACACUUGUUGGAAAACCUGACGAGUCUACUUUCCAAUGAAUCUAGUGGCGACCAGUUUGGAUACACCAUAUUGCCUGCAGACCAGAAUUAGUACAGACUGCUCAGAAGGUCAACAGUCUGUCGUGACAGAAUGUUAGUACAACUUGCCAUGUAAAACUGUACUAAUCUAAAUGUUUUGUACUGGUUGGCAUACAUUGCUAGAAAGCCCUUUGAGUCUAGUUUUACACCCAAGAAAUGGUUCAUCAUUUGGACUUCCGAAUAAAAAGUUAUGGUCAGUUUAUUGGAAAUUGCUCUGGAGGCCAACAGUCACGCGAAGCCACUUCGGGAAUCCAUUUUGAGGGGACCUUUCACAUUGCCUUCCCUCGAAAACUCUAUUUCAUUUUCAUACCUAUCUAGCAGGGCUGUUGCUAGUAUAAAUACCCCCUAAGACUCAUUGUAAUCUCAGACUUUUGAGAAUUUAAAUACAGAACCCCUUUUGUUUAGCUGUGUGCUAGCAAAUAUUCAAAGAGUGAUCUCUACCCCUUUGCUCUUGUGAUUUCCUCGUGGGAUUACAUAGGCGGCAGCUUCAUCCGCUCCCAAUUGGUGCUCCUACUCCCUUCAAGGUAUUCCUUGAUUGAUUAUAGGCUGUGUUGGUUGGUUCUUUGAGAGUGUGGUUGGGCGAAUCCUCGAUUCAGGUUGCCAGUUCAAGACGGUGGUUGGCUUCGAGUUUUAUUUGCCAGGUUGCACUAGUUAUCGCUGCUUGAAGCAAGUUAUUCGGCUGUUCUUCAGCUAGUUAUCGGUGUUCUUCCUACGUCGUGAAGAUCGGGACAACGUGUCGCAUCAGUUAAGGUUAGUAAAAUAGCGGCGUACCUUCUCAGAGGGGAAGUGCAUGUGGACUUCUCCGGUUCCAAUGU
RNAcentral lists this long non-coding RNA (37193 nucleotides) under Sorghum bicolor (sorghum). RNAcentral describes it as "long non-coding RNA (SBIC_LNC012173)". The record is from RNAcentral. Lineage: Eukaryota; Viridiplantae; Streptophyta; Magnoliopsida; Poales; Poaceae.